UUUAAGUAUUUUUUUUUUAUUAUUAUUAAUUUAUUUAUAGUUAUUAAAUUAAUUUAGUUUUUUUACUGAAAAGGUUAAUUUAUAAUAAUUUUAAAAUAAUUUUUAGUACCUUUUGUAUCAGGGUGAUUUUAAUAAUUAAUUUAAUUUUUAUUUUCGAAGUUUAAAUAUUUAGUUUGUAAUUUAUUUUUAUGUUUUAUAAUUAUUUAAAAUUUCAUACUAGUAGUGAUAUGCUAUUCGUUUUUUUUGAUAUCUAGUUUUUUAGGAUUUAAUUUAAUUAUAGAUUAAUGUUAUUUUGUUUUAUAUUUUUUUUAUUAAUCGUAUAAAAUUUGGGAUAAGCUAAUUUUUUAUUUAAAAUUUAUUUUAAAUUAAUUUUUAUUUAUUUUUAAAUCUUUUUUUAAGUUCGUAAUAGAUUAAAAUUUUUUUAUGAAAUUUUAUUAAAUUUAUAUUUUUACUAAGAUAAUUAAUUAAAUUAUUAUAAUAUUAAAAUAAUGAUUUAAUAAGUAUAAUUAAAAUUUAAUUUAAAAUGAAUUCGACAAAUAUAAUUUUCAACUGUUUAUCAAAAACAUUUCUUUUAGUAAAUUUUUAAAAGUACAUUCUGCCCUAUGAUAAUUUAAAUGGCUGCAGUAUUUUAACUGUGCAAAGGUAGCAUAAUAAUUAGUUAAUUAAUUGUUAACUGGAAUGAACGAAUAAAUGAGAGAUUUAUUUUAUUUAUUUUAUUUUUAGAAUUUUAUUUUUUGGUAAAAAAGCUUAAAUUUUUUUUUUGGGACGAUAAGACCCUAAAGAAGUUUAUUAAAAUAUUUUAUUUUAAAAUUUUGGUAAAUAAUUUUUAAUUUAAUUUAUUUUUUUUUAAUUGGGGUGAUUAAUAAGUAUAUCUUUAUUUUUUUGUAUCAUUAUUUUAUGAUUUUUUUGAUCCUUUAUAAGAUUAUAAGAUUAAGUUACCUUAGGGAUAACAGCGUAAUUUCAAUGGGGAGUUCAUAUUUAUAUUGGAGUUUGCGACCUCGAUGUUGAAUUAAGGUUAUAAAGAGGGGUAGGUUUUUCUUUUUUAAGUCUGUUCGACUUUUAAAUUCUUACAUGAUUUGAGUUCAAACCGGUGUAAGCCAGGUUGGUUUCUAUCUUAAAAUUGUUAAUAUUAUUUAGUACGAAAGGACCAAUAAUUUCAAUUUUGAUUGUUAAUAUUAUGGUUAAUUUU
Molecule: ribosomal RNA, 1189 nt
Filed under: Seasogonia rosea
Lineage: Eukaryota; Metazoa; Arthropoda; Insecta; Hemiptera; Cicadellidae
Description: 16S ribosomal RNA
Source: RNAcentral